This 524-nucleotide ribosomal RNA is filed under the name uncultured Clostridium sp. RNAcentral describes it as "bacterial SSU rRNA". It matches the Rfam family "Bacterial small subunit ribosomal RNA", at positions 355 to 896 of the family's 1533-position model. Lineage: Bacteria; Bacillati; Bacillota; Clostridia; Eubacteriales; Clostridiaceae. The record is from RNAcentral.
UGGGGAAUAUUGCACAAUGGGGGAAACCCUGAUGCAGCAACGCCGCGUGAGCGAAGACGGUCUUCGGAUUGUAAACCUCUGUCAUAAGGGAAGAUAAUGACGGUACCCAAGGAGGAAGCUCCGGCUAACUACGUGCCAGCAGCCGCGGUAAUACKUAGGGAGCAAGCGUUGUCCGGAUUUACUGGGUGUAAAGGGUGCGUAAGCGGCUUUUUAAGUCGGGCGUGAAAGCUGUGGGCUUAACCCACAGAUUGCUUUCGAAACUGGAAGGCUUGAGUGAAGUAGAGGUAGGCGGAAUUCCCGGUGUAGCGGUGAAAUGCGUAGAGAUCGGGAGGAACACCAGUGGCGAAGGCGGCCUACUGGGCUUUAACUGACGCUGAGGCRCGAAAGCAUGGGUAGCAAACAGGAUUAGAUACCCUGGUAGUCCAUGCCGUAAACGAUGAUUACUAGGUGUGGGGGGUCUGACCCCUUCCGUGCCGGAGUUAACACAAUAAGUAAUCCACCUGGGGAGUACGGCCGCAAGGUUG